UUGUAAUAAGAUUUUAAUUGAAUGCUAAAAGAAUGGAUUAACAGAUAAAUACUUUCUUUAAUUUAAAAAUUAAAUUUAUUAUUUUUUGUGCAGAAACAAAAAUAAAAAUUAAGGACAAGAAGACCCUAAGAAUUUUAAUUUGAUUUAAAUAAUUUAUAUUUCUUAAUCAAAUUUAAUUGGGGCGAUUGAAAAAUAUUUUUAACUUUUUUUUAAAAAAAAUAUGAACCAUUAAUAAUGGUAAUAUGAAAAAAUACUCUAGGGAUAACAGCGUAAUAAUUUUUGAUAGUUCAUAUAGACAAAAUAGUUUG
Molecule: ribosomal RNA, 308 nt
Filed under: Amblyomma javanense
Lineage: Eukaryota; Metazoa; Arthropoda; Arachnida; Ixodida; Ixodidae
Description: partial large subunit ribosomal RNA
Source: RNAcentral